This 460-nucleotide ribosomal RNA is filed under the name uncultured bacterium. Its description in RNAcentral is "partial 16S ribosomal RNA". It matches the Rfam family "Bacterial small subunit ribosomal RNA", at positions 338 to 795 of the family's 1533-position model. The record is from RNAcentral.
CCUACGGGGGGCAGCAGUGAGGAAUAUUGGUCAAUGGACGAGAGUCUGAACCAGCCAAGUAGCGUGAAGGAUGACUGCCCUAUGGGUUGUAAACUUCUUUUAUAUGGGAAUAAAAUGUUCCACGUGUGGGAUUUUGUAUGUACCAUAUGAAUAAGGAUCGGCUAACUCCGUGCCAGCAGCCGCGGUAAUACGGAGGAUCCGAGCGUUAUCCGGAUUUAUUGGGUUUAAAGGGAGCGUAGGUGGAUUGUUAAGUCAGUUGUGAAAGUUUGCGGCUCAACCGUAAAAUUGCAGUUGAAACUGGCAGUCUUGAGUACAGUAGAGGUGGGCGGAAUUCGUGGUGUAGCGGUGAAAUGCUUAGAUAUCACGAAGAACUCCGAUUGCGAAGGCAGUUCACUGGACUGCAACUGACACUGAGGCUCGAGAGUGUGGGUAUCAAACAGGAUUAGAUACCCGAGUAGUC